GGAUUCCUACGGGGGGCAGCAGGAGGGAAUCUUCCACAAUGGGUGAAAGCCUGAUGGAGCAACGCCGCGUGGGUGAAGAAGGUCUUCGGAUCGUAAAACCCUGUUGUUAGAGAAGAAAGGGCGUGAGAGUAACUGUUCACGGUUCGACGGUAUCUAACCAGAAAGCCACGGCUAACUACGUGCCAGCAGCCGCGGUAAUACGUAGGUGGCAAGCGUUAUCCGGAUUUAGUGGGCGUAAAGGGAACGCAGGC
RNAcentral lists this ribosomal RNA (251 nucleotides) under uncultured bacterium. RNAcentral's name for it is "partial 16S ribosomal RNA". It matches the Rfam family "Bacterial small subunit ribosomal RNA", at positions 333 to 576 of the family's 1533-position model. The record is from RNAcentral.